This is an RNA transcript of Daktulosphaira vitifoliae (grape phylloxera), 3138 nucleotides long. RefSeq lists it as uncharacterized. NCBI's taxonomy places the organism in Eukaryota, Metazoa, Arthropoda, Insecta, Hemiptera, Phylloxeridae. The record is from RefSeq and is a predicted model, not a curated record. The transcript has 4 exons.
AGCUGUCCCGCCUGCUCCCUGGCGAGGUCUAGCCCAGCCGACAACACCUCGUCGGCCCGACCGAUCACCCUCUUUGGUGUCCCGUCAGCGUUGAAGAGAUCAACUGCAGUCAGGGGCACCAACUUAGGCUUUUUGGCCAAGACCGGCAGAGGAGUCGCCGGCAUAGGCACAAUCGCACCGGGCGGGGUAUCCUCCAAUGUGAUAGUUGGUGGGCUGAUCGUUGGGGAGAUCUCCUUGCGUUUGGGACGCAAGAAAUCGUCCUCCCCCAGCUCAGCCGCCACCACUUCACUGACUCCCACAAUGGUUGAACCCGAAGUUCCUAUCCUCGGCGAACCGGCCCUAGACGCGCUCCGCAAUCUCUCCAAUAUGGAGGGUUUAGGAGACGCAUCCAGGGAGAUAGCCGUCGUCAAGUCCGUGUAAUCCGUGCAAUCCGUUGCCAAUAUCCUCCCGGCUAUUUCACCGGUGGGAGUGGCUUGGUCACCACCACUCCCUGCAGUCGCAGUACCAACCCCGUGGUUGGCUGCAGGAGCCUGCCUCAACACUUCUGCAUUUACUGUGUAUUCGUUUGAUAACGACACCUGGUGGGUACACCCCCCACCAACCGCCGGCACUGAUGCAGUAACCUUUUUCUCCGUGUUUGCCAUUAUUCAUAUAAAAUAAUUUUCUGAGGGGGCUGCCCUCAUAGCCAGUCCCUCCGGCCAGUGAGUAGCUAACUACACUGGUUGCGUUGCCAUAUAUCUUCAUUCUCACCCAAACGCUACCGCUUAUUCGACCAUAAAAGGCUUAUUUCACGGCUACCCUGUAUAUCUAUAGGGCUAACAAGCGUUUGGGCGGCUCGCUGUCCGCGACCGCUUAUUCGUCAGUCCAAAUUAAUGGACUGCUUAUUUCGCGGCUAACCUGCAUAUCUGCAGGCCGUUCCUCUAUCCGCAACCUGAGGACGCGCCCUGAUGAUCAUGAGCCUAUUAGUUAUUGUUAUUAUGUUUAGGUUAGAGACGAUAUACCAACAUCAUUACUCGAACAGUUUUCAAUUCCAACGUAUCCAGUGUUGUUCAGAGAGGACGGUCAUGGAGAAAAGGGUGCGGUAGCUAAACAUUUCGUUUAAGAAAUUGUGGAAGUAGCUCGAAAUAUAUCUCAAAUAUUACAAGUCAACUUGCCCAUGACUUUUAAGCAAGCUGAUGCGAAGAAACAUAAUGAUAUAGUAAAACGCGGUGUGUGUCCUUUAUGCAAUGUUAAGUUCUCUAUAAAUAAUUACCCAGUUCGCGAUUAUGAUCAUUUAACAUCCGAGUACAGAAAGAAUUUGUAAUAAAUGCAACUUAAAGUUAAAGUCUCCUAAAUUUGUCCCCUGUUUUUUUCACAACUUAUCCAACUACGACGGUCAUUUCAAUGUAACACAGCUUGGAUACGACGAUAAACCCAUAACUUUUAUACCUAACAGUGAAGAAAAAUUUAUUUCUUUCUCAAAAUAUGUGGCGAAAGACUUCAAAAUAAGAUUUGUUGACAGCAACAGGUUUAUGGCGUCAAGUUUAUCAAAACUAGUCGAAAAUCUAGCCAAAGGGGAUGUAGGAUACUUCAAAGAUACUACAAAACAUUUUCCAAAUUCAGAUAUCAGUCUUAUUACCCGUAAAGGUGUUUAUCCUUACGAGUAUACAGACUCAUUCGAGAAACUUAACGAAACAUCGCUAUCAUCUAUAAAUGAGUUUUAUAGUUCUUUAAAUGAGAGUAAUAUAACGGAAGAGGACUAUCAACAUGCUCAGAAUGUUUGGAAACAUUUUAAGUGUACAACGUUAGGACAAUAUAGCGACUGGUAUUUGAAGUUGGGCGUGUUGUUGUUAUGUGACGUGUUUGAGUCUUUUAGAGACCUUUGCCUAAAAACUUAUGGACUGGACCCUAAUUAUUAUUACACCGCACCCGGCAUGUCUUUUGAUUGUAUGUUGAAACAUACAAAUAUUGAGCUCGAGCUAUUACACGAUUAUGACAUGCUCUUGAUGUUGGAGCAGGGAAUUAGAGGAGGUUUGACAACGGCAGUACGCCGAUAUUCGGAAGCUAAUCAUAUAGGACUUUCUAGCUAUGAUGUUAGUAAGCCGGAUAACUGGAUCAUAUAUCUUGAUGCUACAAAUUUAUACGGAUGAGCCAUGUCACAGUAUCUGCCUAAAGAUGGCUUUAAAUGGAGUGAGAUGAAUUUAAAUGUUUCAGAAGUUUUAAUGCUCUUAGAAAAAACAUCAAAUAAUUCGAAAAAAGGAAUGAUAUUAGAAGUCGACGUUUCAUACCCUGAACACUUACAUGAUAAUCAUAACGAUUUACCGUAUCUGCCUUUUAAAGAAGUCCCCGAAGGUUCUAAGUUUCCAAAGCUUUUGGCUACCUUAAAACAUUAAAAAUAUUACAUAGUACACUACAAUUCGUUGAAACAGGCAGGACUGGUGUUGGAAAAAGUGCAUAGAAUGAUAGAGUUUAAUCAAUCUCCAUGGCUGGCAAGCUAUAUAUCAUUAAAUACACGGAUGCGUUCGGUAGCUAAAAAUACGUUUGAAAAAGACUUUUAUAAGCUUAUGAACAACUCAGUAUUUGGCAAAACGAUGGAGAAUGUACGUCUCAGAAUGAAAAUAGAGCUUACUAGUAGUGAGUCAAGAUAUAGAAAGCUUGUUAAUUUACCCUCACAUAAAGGUACAACUGUAUAUGGUGACAACUUGUCAUUACAUAAUAAUUCAUUUACACAAAGAAGAUUUAAUUUUCGAUAAGCCCAUGUACAUAGAAUUUGCCGUGUUGGACAUAACAAAAACUCUUAUGUAUGAUUUUCACUAUGGUACUAUGAAAGCGUUAUAUGCAGAAAACAUUGAACUUUUAUACAUGGGCACAGAUUCAUUGAUAUAUUUAGUCAAAACCAAGAAUUUUUAUGAUGAUAUGCAAAAACAUCAAAGUUUUAUAGAAAAACUAGAUACCUCAAACUAUCCAGUUAACCAUCCGUGUUAUCGUACUGAACGGUGUAAGAUCCCUGGUACUUUCACUGACGAGACUGGGGGGGAGUUUAUUUCAGCACACGUAGCUCUAAGAUCCAAGGCUUACGGCUUCAUUCAAAAUGCUAAAGAGUGCAUCAAGGCAAAAGGAGUGGCGUAUCAUGCCGUCAAAAAUCACAUUAGAUUUGAG